UACGGGGGGGGCAAGCGUUGUUCGGAAUUACUGGGCUUAAAGGGCUCGUAGGUGGCCAACUAAGCCAGACGUGAAAUCCCUCGGCUUAACCGGGGAACUGCGUCUGAUACUGGAUGGCUUGAGUUCGGGAGAGGGAUGCGGAAUUCCAGGUGUAGCGGUGAAAUGCGUAGAUAUCUGGAGGAACACCGGUGGCGAAGGCGGCAUCCUGGACCGACACUGACACUGAGGAGCGAAAGCCAGGGGAGCAAACGGG
Molecule: ribosomal RNA, 253 nt
Filed under: uncultured bacterium
Lineage: Bacteria
Description: partial 16S ribosomal RNA
Rfam family: Bacterial small subunit ribosomal RNA
Source: RNAcentral